CCUAUGGGGUGCACCAGGCGAGAAAACUUUGCAAUGUGCGAAAGCACGACAAGGUUAAUCCGAGUGAUUUGUGCUAAACGAAUCCUCUUUGUUAGUGCCUACAACCACUAGACGCAAGAAGCGCGUGGGCAAGUAAUG
RNAcentral lists this ribosomal RNA (138 nucleotides) under uncultured crenarchaeote. Its description in RNAcentral is "partial 16S ribosomal RNA". It matches the Rfam family "Archaeal small subunit ribosomal RNA", at positions 322 to 455 of the family's 1478-position model. The record is from RNAcentral. Lineage: Archaea; Thermoproteati; Thermoproteota.